AUUGAACGCUGGCGGCAUGCCUUACACAUGCAAGUCGAACGGCAGCACGGGAGCAAUCCUGGUGGCGAGUGGCGAACGGGUGAGUAAUAUAUCGGAACGUGCCCAGUCGUGGGGGAUAACGCAGCGAAAGCUGUGCUAAUACCGCAUACGCUCUACGGAUGAAAGAGGGGGAUCGCAAGACCUCGCGCGAUUGGAGCGGUCGAUAUCAGAUUAGCGAGUUAGUGAGGUAAAGGCUCACCAAGGCGACGAUCGGUAGCUGGUCUGAGAGGACGAACAGCCACACUGGAACUGAGACACGGUCCAGACUCCUACGGGAGGCAGCAGUGGGGAAUUUUGGACAAUGGGCGCAAGCCUGAUCCAGCAAUGCCGCGUGCAGGAUGAAGGCCUUCGGGUUGUAAACUGCUUUUGUACGGAACGAAACGGUGAGCUCUAAUACAGUUUGCUAAUGACGGUACCGUAAGAAUAAGCACCGGCUAACUACGUGCCAGCCGCCGCUGUAA
This 500-nucleotide ribosomal RNA is filed under the name uncultured bacterium. RNAcentral describes it as "partial 16S ribosomal RNA". It matches the Rfam family "Bacterial small subunit ribosomal RNA", at positions 30 to 523 of the family's 1533-position model. The record is from RNAcentral.